CAUUGUCCAACCUAUUGGUUAAGAAAUCAUUUUUACCCAGUAUUGCAAAAAAUUAUCUUUGUAUAUGGGAAUGCAAUCUUACACUUUAUUGUUCACAUUAGUGUUUCUAGCUCAGCAUGAAACAGUGAGAGAUUACUUAGUAUAUUUUUCACCUCAUCCAGACAUCUUAUCCUUCUUGACUGAUAUACCAUCCUAGCCCAAAAACCACUGUAUGCUUUCCGAAAGUACACUCUUGAAUAAAUAAUCCAUAUAUGAAAAAAUUAAUGACAUAUAAAACACAUAUGUAUUUUGCAUCUAGCCAUUAAUUCAUCCUCUCGACGCUCUCUUCUUCAACUUACAACCACAGAUCUCUGUUUCUCCGGUGACCGGCGCGUGGCGGCUCCGUUAGCGCCACCGCCGGUCCCGUUAGUUUCCUCUUCUUUGUUUUGUGUAGAUCCCUUAUUUAAUUUGUCUUAGGUUUCGUAUCUGGUUAAGCGGAGGGUGCUGUUUCGUCGAGCUCGUGUCGGGUCACGGUCUCUGUGGAGGUCGUGUGGCUAGUUGGUCAUGCCAGCUGCCGGUGAAGCUUGGUGGUUCCGUUUCGAGUCGUCUCUCGGGUCCCUGCCUUUUGUGGGUUGAAGUAACGAUUGGUCCUUAACGUUUUGUUUUUGUGACAAUGUUGGGUUUGUUUGAUGGUAUUGGUCUUUACGGCUGUUGUCGUAUGUUUAGCAUGGGCUUGUUUAUGGUGGGAUAAGCUUGGUUUUCGAUGUCUCUAUUCUUGGGGUUAACAAUUGACUUAGCAGAUUGGGUUUCAACUGGUGGUGGGUACAAUGAGUGCUUCUCUUCGUUUCUUUUUCCGUGAGUGAGUGACUCCGGAGAGUUUCGAUGGGCAAGGCUUCCGUUUCGUGUGGUUUUAGCAGGUCUUCUAUUCAGGGGUAAGUGGGCGCUUGUGAGUGCGUCGCAUCCGUAUACGAUGGUGGUGUGGACCGAGUAACGGUCCUUCUUGUCGGGUUAUGAAGUCUUGAGGUUCUUGGACGUUAUCGGUUGGCGGGCGUGUGCAGCAACGAUAGGUUGUGGUGUAUUGGGUUCUAGAGGUGGAGGUUAUCGGGUGGCAAUCUUUGAUGUGCAGCGAUAAUUCCCGGUCAUUGGCAUCCUUAUGUUUUGAAAUCUGCUGAGUUGUUUUGCUUAAUAUCCUAGUGUAGUUAUUAAUGGAUUUCCUUUGCUUAGUUGUGGAUUGAGUUCUUAUCGCUUGUGUUUGUAAGUCGCCCCUGUGUGGGUUCUAGCUGCCGCCUCCUGUGGGCUCUUGUGUCUGAAGAAUGUUCGAUUUUCCGUCAGUUUUUGUAUUUUAAUUAGUAUUUUUCUAUGGAAUAUGAAUUUAAAUUUGGGGGAAAAAAAAGCACACACAUAUGUUAGAUGAAACUGGUAAAAGAGUCAAUGUUUGGAGUGCCAAUGAAAAUUAAAAAAAAAAUACAUUGUUUAGUAAUUCUCCGUCCAUUCCACAAUCAUCGUAUUGUAUAUCACAAUUUUUUUCUUUCAGAAUUAAGGUACCAAUAAACAUGUCAAAUAAUUUACCAAACAAAAUGGGGUCAUUUGAAUUUCCAUAAGAAAGCAUGUAAAAUUAUUACCUCCUGGGCCAUAUAUUGAGUAGUUACACAUUAAAAGGAAAUUAUUUUCGGUACGAUAUCCUGACUUAACCGUAUUUUUAUAAAUUUUUUAAUUAUGUAGUAUUAGAGAGUAAGAAUACUAUUAUGUUUAUAUUAUUGUGUUGUUAUUUGGUGGAUUACAUGAAGUUGUAUAUAGCCAUGAUAUCUUGUUAUGUUUUUGGGUUUCCAACUUAAACCCAAGUGGUCAUAAGCGGAUUGACUGAAGUUGAUUAUAUAUUAGUGUUGGUCUCUGUAAACUUUCGGGGUGGGAUUUAAAAACAUCCUCUCGAGGUGUGGUUUAUAUUUGAUUUGUGUCCCAUUUUAGGACUGAUAAUAAACCUUUUUGGCCACCAUGCUUGAAUCAACAAAUGAGGCUC
Molecule: long non-coding RNA, 1996 nt
Filed under: Brassica rapa (field mustard)
Lineage: Eukaryota; Viridiplantae; Streptophyta; Magnoliopsida; Brassicales; Brassicaceae
Description: long non-coding RNA (BRAP_LNC001037)
Source: RNAcentral